GUUAAGCGACUAAGCGUACACGGUGGAUGCCCUGGCAGUCAGAGGCGAUGAAGGGCGUGCUAAUCUGCGAUAAGCGCCGGUAAGGUGAUAUGAACCGUUAUAACCGGCGAUACCCGAAUGGGGAAACCCAGUGUGACUCGUCACACUAUCAUUAACUGAAUCCAUAGGUUAAUGAGGCGAACCGGGGGAACUGAAACAUCUAAGUACCCCGAGGAAAAGAAAUCAACCGAGAUUCCCCCAGUAGCGGCGAGCGAACGGGGAGGAGCCCAGAGCCUGAAUCAGCAUGUGUGUUAGUGGAAGCGUCUGGAAAGGCGCGCGAUACAGGGUGACAGCCCCGUACACAAAAGCGCAUGUGCUGUG
This 360-nucleotide ribosomal RNA is filed under the name Salmonella enterica. RNAcentral describes it as "partial 23S ribosomal RNA". It matches the Rfam family "Bacterial large subunit ribosomal RNA", at positions 1 to 398 of the family's 2925-position model. RNAcentral also lists the same sequence under 1 other name. The record is from RNAcentral. Lineage: Bacteria; Pseudomonadati; Pseudomonadota; Gammaproteobacteria; Enterobacterales; Enterobacteriaceae.